AUUUCUAUUUCAUUUCAGGGUGCUGUGGUGAGUACUGUAGAUUGUAGUGCAUAUGUAUAGAAUUCAAUAAACGAUGAUGAAUGAAAACUGAUUUCGAUUCGUUUUGUGUAAUUUUAGGUAUUUUCACUCUAUCACAACUCUGUCGGUUGGUGUUCAUGAGUGUGAGACUAAUACAGCAAUGUUUGAGUAGUACAAAAAUGUUUUCGCUUUUGUGGUCGCCAGCUGUCCGUGAUCUGUAAAGUGAAAAUACACAGAGCUAUGAAGCAUACAGAUGUUUCGAAAUUUUAUCAAUGAUUGUAUACUAUGCAUGUUUUGAUUUAGUUCGUUUCAGAUUUGACAUGAGAUGAAAACCUGACAUGAUUUGAACAGAGCUGGGAAAUGAAAAGGUAAGUCUGUUUCAUUCCACUAUGAACACUUGUAUUUUGACAAAAGAAGAGAUAAAGUGAGUUACUUUAUCAUCAUGGUUUCAUUUGGUGUAUAACACAUGAACAGAGGUAAACCUAGCUAGCUUUUCGUGUACUCUAUUUUGGAUGAUGAGUAUGUCAGUAACUUUAAUUGUACGGCUAGUAAAGUAUGAACAUGAAUGCUUUGUUCAGAUUUUCAGAUGUGUGCUGGCAGUUGAAGUCUGGCAGCCGGAGUGAACAGUCGUGAUUUCUGGAGCUCCAACAAUAUGCUAGAAGGUAAGUAACUAUGUUUGUUUUGCAUUGCAUGUUUUUAUAUGUUUCAGACUUUCAAGCAGAGAUGUCAUGCUGACUGGAGUUGAGCACAGGGCAGUGACAAAGUGAAAGGUAAGUACUUUUGACUGAAUGUUUGUUCUAUGCAUGUUUUGUUUUAAUACAUUUCAGGAGUGCUUAUCCAGUGAUGAUAUGACAGUUGGAGUGAACAGUGGAGCCAAGCAGUCUUGUUUUUGGAGCUACUCAACAAGCCUUGAAGGUAAGUUUAGAAUUUCUCAAUGUUAGUGAAUUGAAGUACUGUCACUUGCUUUUGGACAGUCGAACAGAACAGACGUGGUUGCGAGAGCUCUCAUAUCUGUUGUGUUAAACUGUUUUUAUGAUAUGUUAUGUUUGUUUGUUUGUUUGUGAUGUACUAUUUUUCAGAUGCUGAUGGCAGUGAUGGGUUUUCAAGCUGACCUGAACAGAAAAGCACUCAUAUGGUAAGUACAAAAUAGUUGUUAUAUGGGAUGUUUUGUGCAUGCUUUUAUGUUUCAGGUGUACUUGCUGACAGCGACGAAGACGAAUCAAGAAGAGGAACAUUGUUGAGAAAGUGAUUGGGACUUGCAAACAGGAUUCGAGUCACUGGUUUACACAUGGAAGAAGAUUUCCACGUCUGUUACUCAACUCUACAGAAGCAAGUGGAUGUCCAGAUGGCAAGCAGAACAGACGUGUUUCUUGGAGCUGCCAAACAGUGAGUACAAACGUUUUAUAUUUUUCAGUUGUUUACUCAUAGAAGUCUGUGAAAGAUGAUAACAAGGGUUGAAUCUAUCAGCACUUGUGUCUAAAAAUGCUGAUGUGUGACGGUUUACUGAAAAGGGUAAAUGCUAGCCAGUACUUACACUUGAGCAACCGUGGGAUGUCGAACUAACUGAUGAUGUACUAUGAUGGUGAACACUUACUAUGUGUAUCAAAAUGCUUUUGUUGAUAUUUACUAUAGAUGAUUUGAUAUUGGUUAACAUUUGUUUGCAUGCUGUUAACAUUUCUAUUUCAUUUCAGGGAGCUGUGGUAAGUAUUGUAGUAUUAAUUUGUCUCAAUAAACGAUGAUGAAUGAAAACUGAUGUCGAUUCUUUUUGUACAGUUUUAGGUAUUAGCACUCUAUACAAAACUCUGUCGGUCGGUGUUUGUGAAUGUGAGCUUAAUGUUUGAGUAGAACAAAAAUGUCUUUACUUUUGUGAUCGCCAGUUGUCUGUGAUGUAAAGUGGAAAAAACACAGCUAUGAAGCAUACAAUUGUUUCAAUAUUUUAUCAAUGAUAGUGUGCUAUGCAUGUUUUGAUUUAGUUCGUUUCAGAUACGACAUGACAUGAAGAGUUGACAGUCGAACAGAGCUGAGCAAAGCAGAAAGGUAAGUGUGUUUCAUUUUAGUAUGAACACUUGUAUUUUGUUUUUAUAUGGUAUGUUUUGUGCAUGCUAUGUUUCAGGUGUACUUGUAGUCAGCGACGAAGACGAUUCAAGAAGAGGAACAUUGCUGAGAAAGUGAAUGGGACUUGCAAACAGGGUAAGUGUUACAAUUGUUCUUUUGAUUUUUGCCAUGCAUACUUUGCUUUGCUCUGUUUCAGAUUUCACAUGCAGAAAUGGUCUCAUAGCAGUGCCAACAGUGAAUAAGGAUUUCAGCUGCUGUGAAACAACUCAACAGAAAGUAGGUAAGCAUUGAAUGAAUGCACUUGAGUUGUACAAUUUGAUGUGAUGCUUUUCUCUGUUUCAGAUUCAAGUUCCUGGUGUAGACAGAGAAAUGUGUUUGAAGAAGGAAUUCUACUACUGUGAUUCAACUCUACAGAAGCAAGGUAAGUAGAAACACAAUUUUGGUUUAAUUUAACUCAUGUGUUUUGCACUGCAUGCUAUUUUUCAGGUCUCUCAUGCAGUGAUGCAAAAGAAGAAGAUUUCAAGAAAGAAUCACUGCUGCAACUCAGGCCUAUAACAAGACUUACAUUGCUGUGACUGUUCCACAGUGGGUCAAAAAAGAGACGAAUACAGGUUUCAAGAAGAAAAUUGGCUGUUGAAAACCUGCACAAAAUAUGAGGUAAGUAAACUAUUCUUUUGGUUUGUUUUGUGCUUUGUUAUGCUUAACUAUUUUUCAGAUUGGAAUGGUGGGUCGUUACAGAGCAGACUUUUGGACAACUGAGAAGUUGAGAAACAGAGAAUGAUUCAAGAUCAGCUAGGUAAGUCUUGAUUAUUCUGCAUUGUAAAAUGUGUUUCUUUUUCAUUUCAGUAUGGCUGUGGUAAGUACACAAACUUUCUUUAAUUUUCAUAUUGAACUGUUUUGAUG
Molecule: long non-coding RNA, 2976 nt
Organism: Dreissena polymorpha
Lineage: Eukaryota; Metazoa; Mollusca; Bivalvia; Myida; Dreissenidae
Exons: 4
Source: RefSeq, a predicted model, not a curated record